CGCCUCUUGAUUCCCAUAAGAGGUCCCGCCUGCCCUGUGACAAUGUUUAACGGCCGCGGUAUUUUGACCGUGCGAAGGUAGCGUAAUCACUUGUCUUUUAAAUGAAGACCUGUAUGAAAGGCAUCACGAGAGUUUAACUGUCUCUAUUUUCUAAUCAAUGAAAUUGAUCUUCCCGUGAAGAAGCGGGAAUAAAACCAUCAGACGAGAAGACCCUAUGGAGCUUCAAACACUUAGAUUAAUUUGCAAAAAUAUUUUUCCCCAAGGGCUUAACCACAUAUAAUUUUUUUAAUUUAACUGUUUUUGGUUGGGGUGACCAAGGGGAAAAACAAAUCCCCCUUAUCGAUUGAGUACUAAGUACUUAAAAACUAAAGCGACAGCUUUAGUUGAUAAAACAUUUAUCGAAUAUGACCCAGGAUUUACUGAUCAAUGAACCAAGUUACCCUAGGGAUAACAGCGCAAUCCUUUCCCAGAGUCCCUAUCGCCGAAAGGGUUUACGACCUCGAUGUUGGAUCAGGACAUCCUAAUGGUGCAACCGCUAUUAAGGGUUCGUUUGUUCAACGAUUAAUAGUCCU
RNAcentral lists this ribosomal RNA (572 nucleotides) under Squatina albipunctata (eastern angel shark). RNAcentral describes it as "partial 16S ribosomal RNA". It matches the Rfam family "Bacterial large subunit ribosomal RNA", at positions 1817 to 2597 of the family's 2925-position model. Lineage: Eukaryota; Metazoa; Chordata; Chondrichthyes; Squatinidae. RNAcentral also lists the same sequence under 2 other names. The record is from RNAcentral.